This 6935-nucleotide long non-coding RNA is filed under the name Triticum aestivum (bread wheat). RNAcentral describes it as "long non-coding RNA (TAES_LNC005783)". Lineage: Eukaryota; Viridiplantae; Streptophyta; Magnoliopsida; Poales; Poaceae. The record is from RNAcentral.
UCCAACAGUCCUAAAAAAGAAAGUCUCUUAUCUCCAACGGUCCGAAGCGGAACACGACGGCCGUCACGAUCCUCGCCGCCACGGCCGGGGAGAAUCGAGGAUGUGCGGGCCGCAGGCGAGCGGCGCCACGGCUUCGUGAGUGGUGGGGGCGGAUGGACACGGACGAGCACCUCUACCUGCUGGGCUCCUGACGCUCCCCGUCUCCCGCUUCGACGCCGACAAGGUCGAUGCGCUCAAGCGCCUUCUCGCCCUCUUCCCAUAGGUUCGGUUCCUCCCGUCCUCUGACGUCAUGGAAAUUUGAAACGAUUUGCGUGCGUGCGCAGGUAGGCAAGAACGUGUGGCGGCGAUCUCAUUCCACCUCUUCACGCAGAUCACGCAGGUUGGGUUCGGCUCGCGCCUCCUCCCCUCGUCCCAUCUCAGGGCUUGGAUCCCGACGGGAUUUCGAAUUUUCGAUUGGUAUAAUAUUGCAUUGAUAACAAUAUUUGACCUAUCUUGAUAAAAACUGGUACUUGUAAUGCAAAAAUAUUUAGUUCCUUUACAUUGAAUUUAAAAGGUAAGUCAAACAUUUACCAUCCGUCUCCAUGAUAAUAUACGAUGAUAUUACGAUCGACAGUUUAUGAGAAACAGAUAAUAAAGAUAGACAAACUGAUUGAUUAUAUUACAAUAAGGUCACUCGCACUGCAUAAUAUAUAUCACAGUGCAUGAUACUACUUUAGUCCCCUUUUCCAAAAAUGAUACUACUUUAGUUACUGUAUUCACACUGCAUAGCAUCAUAUUAUCAUUUCAUUUAUCCAUUUGUAGAAUCCAAUUCCAAACAUAAAGUUGUGGAUAUGAUCUAUUUCUUAUAAAUUUUUCUCGUUUAAUGUGUUAUACUGUUCCACAAUAUGAUGCUACAAUCUUCUCUCACAUUCUUAAUUGCAAUGCCGCAUCAUCGUUUUCCUUAGGUGGCACUGCAUUGAUACCCUUUAUGAUACUUGCACCAGGACAGGUCUAAGGUACGAUUACUCAUCGGCCAGAUCCCAGACUCGUCACUGCUUCCUUCUCGAUGCUAAAAUAUUCAGCACUAACAACCGUCGAGUUGACCAUUGCCGAUCGCUGCCCAAGUAAACUUUCAUUCUCUUCAGGGUCUUGCUGCAGUUGCACCCAGGGAUGUUGCAUCACCUUCCUCAACCUAUCAAGCUUCUCCGCAACUUCCUUCAUUGAUGGCCUAUUCGUACCACACAUCUCCAAGCAUUGCUUCGCUAGCUCCGCGAUCUCUUCAAGAACCUCCAUGUUGUCUUGCUUGAUCCCAUCAUCCAAGAUCUCCUGAAGCUUAUUCUCCUUCACUGCAGACAUAAACAUCAUUGAUAGGCUCUUCUCUUGGUCAGAGGCAUCAAGACUAAAGGGCUUCUUCCCCGUGAGCAGCUCCAGAAGAACGACACCAAAGCUGUACACGUCACUCUUGUCUGUCAACUGGCAUGUUUGCAUGUACUCCGGGUCAAGGUACCCGCACGUCCCUUGUACAAGUGUGACAAAUUGUGACUCAUCGGUUGGUGCCAGGAUAGAGGCACCGAAGUCGGAGACUUUAGCCUUGUAGUCGCCAUCAAGGAGGAUAUUGGAGGACUUGACAUCACCAUGAAGGAUUGGUGUCGAAGUGGAUGAGUGAAGGUAGGAGAGCGCGUCCGCGGACUCAUGAGCGAUCCCCAAGCGAGUGGCUAAGGGGAUACGUCGGCCAUGGUUGCCGUGGAUGAGAUGGUAAAGAGUGCCGUUUGGGACGAACUCAUAAACCAACAUGGGGACUUCCACUUCGAGGCAGCAUCCCAGAAGUUUCACAAUGUUUUUGUGGUUGAUUUGGGAUAGGAUUAGCAUCUCCUUACCGAACUCCUUCUUGUGUUGCUCGUUGAUGGUCAUGCAUCUCUUGACCGCCACCUCCACGUUGCGGUUGAAAAGUCCCUUAUACACAGUCCCAUGCCCCCCAUGACCUAAGACUUGUUGUUCACUGAACUUGUUCGUGGCUUGUUGCAGUUCUUCCUCUGAGAAGAUUUUGAAUGUAAGGCCUUGCUUCGACUUCAUCUCUUCAAAUAGUAUGAGGCCACCAUGCUGCCGGAAGUAGUUCUGUUUCAUGUUCUGUAGCUUCCGUCUCUCUUGGAUGAAGCAUGCAAAGGCAAUAACAAUCACAAUGAUGACGAGCCCAACACUUGCACCUGCAUGAUUAUCAAUCCAAAUAUAGUUAUGAGUACCUUUUCAAACUAAAUUUCGGCGACUAGUGUCUUGUUUUGUUCUUUUGAAAUCAAACACAGUGGCCCACUGAAAUCUAGUACUGUUGUUGGAGUUAUGUUUUAUACCAUGGUCCAAACUCCAAACUAAGAAUUUCUUGGUCGUUCAAACUAUUUAUUUGAUUCACUUUCCCUUUAAAACUAUCAUUGGAUCAGUUUCUCCUUCAAACGAUAGUGGCUAGUUCAUUUCACUACUGAGACCAGUUUUGGACGACAUCGGUCUUGACAACCUGGAUGGUUGUUCUGCCAGUGUGACAUCCAUGUCAUCCAAAUACUGCACACACAAAAUGACAUGUGGCAGCAGCAGACACCGCUUUUCGUUGCCUGAUGCACAAUCACCUAUCAAUACCUGACCACUCCGGGGUCAACCUCAUUUUUGAAAAAAAAAAUCAGUACCUGACCACUGAUGGCGGGGCGCAAGCUCAGUGAGCUAGACAACCACUGCCACCACCAUGGUCUUCGAUGAAGAACAAGCGUCAGAGGCAGUCGUAACCAAUAUCCGAUCUUCCUAGAACUUGGAUAAUGCCUUGCGGGCAAAACCAUUGUCAAAGUCAUGAAAUCCAGCAUCCAAGAAAGGUAGGGGGUAAAGACAUAAAUAUAAGUAGUAUAGCUUUGGAGGGGAAUAUUGAACAUAUUUGAGAAAAAAAACUGCCAAAUCAAUAGUCAUUUUGGGUGGGUGGUUGGGGGGGUUGAGCUUUCCCUUUUUAGUAGUGAUGAUGUCUAUGCUCACUCAGCAAAGAGAAGAACACACCUACGACUGGCACCGCAGGAAAAUGGGGAGACUUUGGAAUUGGUACGCAGACACCAUUUGUCAUAUAGUUCCCAGGGUGGCAUGAGCAACUGUAUUUCCCCUGCGUAUUCUUGCAGAUCCCUGGGCCGCAAGGAUUAGAUUUUUCACGGCACUCGUCAAUAUCUGGGAAAGAAAUGUUUUUAGUUCAAGUAGUUAUACAAUGUGUAUACUCAUGAUCUACAUGAGAUGGUGAAAAAUGUAAGUGAGGUAGAAGGCAGGAAAACGGGAGGUACCUUGGCAUCCAGCCGUGAUGUAAGGGUUGCCUUUGUACCCAUUGGAGCACUUGCAAUGGUAACCUGGAUCGUUGGUGGUGGAAUCAACACACGCACUAUGGCUGCUGAGGCACGCAUAGGUACUCAUGUUCUUUUUAGCUGCCUUGCAAGUCCACGGUCUUAUUACCCAGUUCGCGACAAGAGGGACUCCCCCCUUGUAUGUCUCAUAGAACACUUUGGAUUUGACAUAGCUGGUGUUGAAACUGAAAGCUGCCUUAUCCAUCAGUGCCAUGUAAUUGCAAGGAUUGGCUUGCCAUAUUUGAGUAGUGUUGUAGUUUUCGUUGAAAUAGCCACGAUAAUACUGUAUGCCCUUUGGGACAUCGGCUUGACAACAGCCAGCGCCAGAGCAUUUGCCAUUCUCGAGGGUGAAAUUCUUGCAUGUGGAAUAGCAACCUAUUACGUACUGCACACAAAACAAACCAAACAAUNNNNNNNNNNNNNNNNNNNNNNNNNNNNNNNNNNNNNNNNNNNNNNNNNNNNNNNNNNNNNNNNNNNNNNNNNNNNNNNNNNNNNNNNNNNNNNNNNNNNNNNNNNNNNNNNNNNNNNNNNNNNNNNNNNNNNNNNNNNNNNNNNNNNNNNNNNNNNNNNNNNNNNNNNNNNNNNNNNNNNNNNNNNNNNNNNNNNNNNNNNNNNNNNNNNNNNNNNNNNNNNNNNNNNNNNNNNNNNNNNNNNNNNNNNNNNNNNNNNNNNNNNNNNNNNNNNNNNNNNNNNNNNNNNNNNNNNNNNNNNNNNNNUUAUACUACUAGUACUUGUAGAGAAAGUCUUGCAAAUCUAUUCACACUGGUUAAUGGUAAGAGUUUUCUCUUUCUACGACAAAUGAAUUGGAAAAGUUUAUCUAAAAUGGAUGGAGGAACAAAAAGUCACUUUUCUCUAUGCACGGUAUCGUUAACUUCAGAAAUAUUCAUCCUAGUUAUCUCCCCGCUAUUUGGAAACUUAAGAUAGCACCUAGAACUCACGCAUUUCUGUGUCUGAUCUCAAAAUAAAAUUAUGACUGGAGACAAUUUGAUGGGAGAAAACGUAUAUGGAGAAACCUAGAGGAUUUAUUCAAUGUAAUGUUCACAGCGCAUGAAUUGAUACAAUAUCUUCUCUACUGUGUUGUGGCCAAACUUCAACUUGUGUGGGAGGAAUCAGCACCAGUUCUGAAGGUUAGAAAUUAAGUUAGUUAUUUCUGAAUCUUUGCAAAGUUUUUGGGAAGGAUUGUCUUGCCAUUAAUACUGUAACUUGUAACUAAUGCAACGAUUUGAGGAUUAUUGAAUAGCAGGAACGAAAUUGUUUUAACAAAAAAGUCUGGGUUAAUAUGGAACAGUUUGUCCCCUUAAAAAAAUAUUACUAAUAAUAAUAUGUAACAGUUUGGGACAUGAUCCUGGCCUACAUCAGGAACCGGAAGGUUCCUUGCAAAGAGAAAUAAGAUGGACUUGCUGGAAAAAGUUGGGGCUCUGUUUGUAAGGAGGGUGAGAGAAUUUAACCUCUAGCUCCACCAGGGGCUGGGGGGUAGAAGUGCAAGCUGAAAAUUAAAGGUAUCUUUCAAGCCGAGUCCAGCAGAGCUUUGAUAUCAUAGAAAGGUCAGAAGAAUGCACUGGUAGGAAGAGGUAGGAAGAAUGCAUACAUGCUCACAUGAUUAACUAUCAGAUGAUAACAGGUGAAUAUAGUUCAUCAUUUUGUUAUGUAGCAUGUUCUUUGCUUGGUUAUCUGUAAUUAAAAACGGAUGUCUACUUAACUGAAAAACACUUGUAGGUUUCAUCAUCUACAUAAUGAAAAUGGAGCUAGAGAGGUUUUACUCGCUGAAAAUUAAUAGAAGUAACGGGUUCUUUUUUCCAAAUACUCCUAUUAAUGAAAGUACUUUCACCCGGUUCAGUAUAAUAAAAAUGUUGAAAUUACUCACAGAAGAGCUCCUCAUAUAAGCGAGAGCAUUGCAUCCGAUGACGAUAAUUUUGUUAUCCACUUCCGAUAUCGAGAAUGGUGUAUUGGUGAAGCUCAACCAUGCAUCAAAGUAAUUCAUACUGCGAGUAGCUGGGGAGUAGCACUGCCAGGAGAAGCUCAUUUUUAUCCGGAUCUUGUUGUCGGGGACGGAGAUAUCGGUCACCUCGAAUGGACCCGUACGAGGCUUCGUGGUGCUGUUGAUGCUCGUGCAGUCAAGGUUAAAGCCGUUGUGCAACGCACAGUGCUCACCGAUGCCGAACGGGAAUGGGAUUGCGACGUCGCCGCACUUCGCCGGGCAGCCAGGACGCUGGCCUGCCCGUACAUCGGCCGUGGCCAGCACCCAUGUCGCCGAAAGGCAGAUAAAAAGAAGCCGAGAACAACCCGGCUUCAUCCUUGCGUGAACUAGUGGGUGUGUGGCUGUUUGCCCCUGAGCUCCUUGCUGUACCAUGGCGCUACCGUGGGCUAUAAAUAGAUGAAUGAACAAAGCAACAGUAGUUCUUUCUCGUUAUUGGCUGCCUGAUUGACUACCACCUCUUAUUUUCUUUUCCUUUUUCUUUUUCUUUUUGCGUAGAGACUAGAGAGCGACUAUACCAGUUGACUAGGGUUAAGUGAUGAAGUGACACAGGCAAAGCGUAAUAGCUGCAUUAUCACCCCUGCCUAAUAUGGCCAUCUUACUUCCUGGCAUAUUUGAGACAUCAAUCCAUGUCUGAGUCUGAUUUGGCCUUCCUCAUCCGGUAGGGCCUUCAGCAAGCAGCUUCCAUGACCGCUUGUGUGGUUGAAGAUGGAAACGAGCCUGAACCGGAACCUGAUUAGGUAUGUAAUCUGUUGUUAUUGCCAUUUUCCUGUUUGUUUGUAACCUCCGUUCUUUUCUCCUCUGGAUUCGGCAACAGCAGUGACGUGUUGUGUGGUCACCCUCUUGGGGACGUUGUCGGGGAGCUCAGGUUCCUUCCGGUUACGGCACGGCGACGUCUUUGGGAGGCUUGGAUCAUUGUUUGAAGCAUCUUCGUGUGUGGCAGUCUCAUCGCCAGUAUUUUGGGAUCUUUCUGCUCGCUGACAUGGUCGACGCUCCACGUCAUGGAGCAAGAGGGCGGAGAGCCUCUUCGGUAACAGUUUGGUGUGGGCAGUGCGGCGAAGUCCGGUGGUUCCUCUACGAGACGCGAGUUCAUUCUUGGUUGGCUUCCGUGGUGCUUUUUUUUUGUGUGUGGUUCAGCCCCUCCAGUGCUCAUCCUCCCGGAUGGUGGCGUCCAAUAGUGCAUCUCUUGCUCAUUGUUUUCCGUUGCUUUCUUUGUUUAUCGGUUUUUAUUUUGAUCGGCUUUGUAAGAGUUUUUUCAACACAUUGUAUCAUUCAGCCAUGUGGCUUUAUAUAUAAAGCAGGACGAAACCAUAUUUCAAGGGUUGCAUGACGAGAUAUAUUCUUUUUACAAUGACAAUAUAGGUUUCGUUGACAUGCUAGAUUGUUGAUGAAUAUGUUUGCUAAUCUACUAAUUAGCCACACUUCCAAGUAUAUUGUUAUUAUGCAAUUUGGACAGCUUGGCGCCCGUGGAUUUCUCCAAGCACACAAAAUAGUGUUCAGCGAAAUGCUUGUGAGACUGUGAAGAAUAGCUUUUUGUUUUUGGUCGUUUUCACUAUGCCGUCGUACCCACGGUAGUGUUGAAGUCCGUCUUUGUAUCUUUCAGCAACUCUGCUACAUUUAAAUUU